AUGGAGCCCCUGGAGGAGAAAGAAACGCAGGUUGCUGCAUGGUUAAAAUAAAUAUUUGGAGAUCAUCCCAUUCCACAGUAUGAUGUGAACCCACGGACCACAGAGAUUUUACAUCACCUUUCAGAACCCAACAGGGUCCGGGACAGGGAUGACUACCUGGUAAUAGAGGACUUGAAGCAGAAAGCAAGUGAAUACAAGUCAGAAGCCUAGUAUCUUCAAGACCUUCUCAUGGAUAGUGUGAAUUUUUCCCCUGCCAAUUUCUCUAGCACUGGUUCCAGGUAUCUGAAUGCUUUGGUUGACAGUGUGGUGGCCCUUGAAACAAAGGAUGACUUACUAGCUAGUUUUAUCCUUGCAGUGAAUGAUUUGACCUCUGAUCUCUUUCGCACCAAAUCCGAAGGUGAAGAAAUCAAGAUUGAACUGGAAAAACUUGAAAAAAAUCUAACUGCAACUUAAUGUUUGAAAAAUGUCUACAAGAGGAUCUCAAGAAAGCAGAGUUGCAUCUGUCCACAGAAAGGGCCAAAGUUGAUACUCGUAGUCAGAACAUGAACUUUCUAAAAGCAAAGUCAGAGGAAUUCAGAUUUGGAAUCAAGGCUACAGAGGAGCAACUUUCAGCCAGAGGCAUGGAUGCUUCUCUGUCUCAUCAGUCCUUAGUAGCACUGUCAGAGAAACUGGCCAAAUUAAAGCAACAGACUAUACCUUUGAAGAAAAAGUUUGAGUCCUAUUUAGACUUAAUGCUGAAUUCUCCUCUUGCUCAAAUGAAAAUUGAAGAAGCAAAGCAAGAAUUAGACAGCAAUGAAGCUGAACUUACAAGGAGAGUAGACAUGAUGGAACUGUGACAAUAGCCAAAUUAACAUCCUUUUCCCUAACAAAAUAAAAUGAAUAGGACUUUAUAGAGUUUUUUUCCUAUUGGUGUUUCUUAAUAACGAAAUUUUCUGUGUUCGUAGAUUACAGAAUGUCAUAAUUAAUAGAAUAUGGUUUCUUACUGUGUAUUGCAUUUUUGUUCCCAAAUACAUAGGUUUCAUAUUAAAAAGGCUUUUCUCU
Molecule: RNA transcript, 1041 nt
Organism: Mandrillus leucophaeus (drill)
Lineage: Eukaryota; Metazoa; Chordata; Mammalia; Primates; Cercopithecidae
Gene name: HAUS augmin-like complex subunit 1 pseudogene
Exons: 1
Source: RefSeq, a predicted model, not a curated record